This is a non-coding RNA of Anas platyrhynchos (mallard), 1978 nucleotides long. NCBI's taxonomy places the organism in Eukaryota, Metazoa, Chordata, Aves, Anseriformes, Anatidae. The record is from RefSeq and is a predicted model, not a curated record.
UUAAAAAAAAAAAAAAAAAAAAAAGCAGCGACACAAGUUUUGCCUUUUGAAAACCUCGGAGGAAACCCUCUCCGCAACAUAUCAGAGCUCCGGCAAACUUCCUCCCAGGCAGCUCUUUAUUCCCAACAACCUUCGGCUGCCUCCCGCCCGCUGCGCGCUGCCGGAGCUUUUCCCAGCCCCCUUGCCCAGCUCCAGGGGCUUUUCCUGGCGGGGGGAGGCCGCAGCCCGGCCGGCCGCGGACCCCCCUCGCUCCCUCCCCGGCCGCCCGCGGGUGCGGGAGCUGCGCGGCCGCGCUCCGCCCGCCGCCGCCCCGUUGCAUAAGGCGGCCCCGCUCCGCCCCUGGAGGUGCGCGUAGGGCUCCGCGGGGACAGCGGCUGCUCGGCCGCUCGUCCCUGGUCUUUUUUUUCUUUUCUUUUUUUUUUUUUUUUUUUUUUUUUUUCUCCAAGCGGGCCGGCGGCUCCUUGCCAUGAGCAGCCCGAAGGCAGCAUGAAAGCGGGCAGGCGCGGCUAUCCCGCCCGCUCCGGUGUAGGAUGGCUCUUGGCGAAGUGUUGCUGCUGCUGCUCCUGCAAAGGGGCUGUCAGAGCCUGAAUAAUUUAAGAGUGAACAAAUGAGAGACGUUCAUGGAGGACUCAGUUCUUACCUAGGCACAAUUUGACAAGCAUGUAGAUUGCCUUGGGUUUCCACUGCACCUACCACAACUUUACUAAGAGAAAAGCCCCCUUUCCUAGACAUCUGUGUCACUCUUGCUUAGUAAAGUUAUUCAAGAUCAGCGCCUUUGGAAUUGGUUGGUAAAUGGACAAAGACUUUCUCUUUGCCCGGAGCUCCUGACAGCCUCCAAGUACCAAAGAGAACUCCACACCACUAGAAAGCAAGAGACAGCUGCUGAAUGUUGGAAGCUACUGCAUUUGGCAAAAGAAGCUGACGCUAAGAUGCACACAGUUGUGUUUGUUUGUUCUGCUUGUUUUCUGUGCUUUCUGAGCCCUGUGUGUGCCUGGAAAGUUUAAUGACCAAUGCCUUCUUUAUCAACAUGCAGUUUUUCUUCCUAUCCCAAAAAGCUUUGGGUUCUGUUCUUGCUUUCCCCGCUCCCCCCAAUUCCAAUUUAUUUUGUCACUGAUACUCCUCUGUUGUUUCCAUUAGGAAUUGUUUGGGAACACACAAUUUCCUUUGAGGUAGGGAGAUAUAAAUAGGACAUUCAAAUGUCCUCCUCUCUCCCCAGAAAUCCAGCAGUGAUCCACCUUGUCAUACAGGCUGCUGGCUUCCAGCGUAAGGCAGAGCUGACCUUAGCAAUGAUGUCAUUUGACUGAGAAAUUACUUCGUUAAAUGUGGAAAAGUUCUUACAGUAGCUCAAUUUGAAAGCUGCUGAAUGAAGCUGACCCCUGACACUUUGCAAAAGAAUAAGGCUUGUGUUGUAUUAACAGCUGCUUGGAAACCAUGUGUAAUAAAUUUUGUUUUUGUGCCCACCACUAGGAUAAAAGAUGGCAUUCGCCGACUCUGGUACCCUUAAUACUCUCAGCAGAGUGACACUGCUUAGAUCAAAGUUUAAAAGUCUGCUUCUAUGUGGGUGUCUACGCAUUUCACAGUUCCUUAUGCUAAAAGUAACAGUGUACUUGCAAAGGCCAGCAAAUGCUGCUCUUCUUGUUCAGCUUCAAUCACGACAUUUUUCCCCUUAUCAUCCCGUAUAGGUUUCUGUAAAGGUUCAGGGUUAAAACUUACUUUUUUAAAGAACGUGCAUAAGUCUCCUGUCAAAAUAUAUCAAGGAGGUUUUUGCUUUGUGUUUGGAGUUCUGUUCUUUUCGCUGCUAGUGACACUUACUCUGGAAACUUCAGGGUUUGGGAUUACAUUAUUUUUGUCACAGAAAGAGGACAGUGUAAAUACAAAAUGUAAAGUAGAAGAACUUAGAGAAGUGCUUCAACAAGUUGUUUGACUAAAUUGAAAUAAAUGUUGAUUUGUUCAAAAAAAAAAAAUCAUGCCCUUUCUG